Medicago truncatula (barrel medic) is the source of this 2556-nucleotide RNA transcript. It is a transcript of the gene named integrator complex subunit 3, with no coding region annotated. Lineage: Eukaryota; Viridiplantae; Streptophyta; Magnoliopsida; Fabales; Fabaceae. The record is from RefSeq and is a predicted model, not a curated record. The transcript has 3 exons.
UUAAUCAUGAAUUAAAAUUGAAGAGCGCUAAACCCCAUGGUUUUUCCGACCUUCGCUCAAAAUUGAAGAACCCUAGACCCCAAUCCACGAACCCUAAACCCCAUCUCUCUCGUAAUCUCGUUUCCUCUAUUUGUUUUCGAUUUCCAUUUGGGAAGGUGAAGAUUAGUUCACCAUUUCACUUCUUUCCAUCAUCAUGGUUCCGAACCUGACCCUGACUGCACCUCACGAAGCUGAAAACCAAAUCGAAAUCUCUCUCAAACAAUCCCUCCAAUCUCUUCAACCUUCCUUAAAACCACCCUUCUCCUUAACCAUUCCAAAUCCCGACGAAUACAUUCAACUCAACCACGCUAUCCUUCACGCCAUUCUCACCCAACCCCAUUUCUCCAAAACCCAUGUCAAACACUUACACGCCAUAAUCACCGACGGUUACGCCACCUUCCUCAACCUCCUCUUCAAUAUCGUCCACCACCUCUACCCCAAACUUCUUGGUUCGGUGAAACAUCAACUUAUUUGGGUCACCGAUGAAAUGAUUCAAGUCUCGGGGAUUGGCUAUGAUGCUUUAUUGAUAUCCCUUUUGAGACAAAUUGUUGGUGGUGAUUUCAGUGAUGAUAAUUUAUGGCUUUGUGAGAAGUUGGUGACACUUUUAUUAGAUAAAUGGGAUUGUUUAUUAGAAGAAAUGCCACAUGUUUUGUGUAGUGGUUUGUACGUGUUUCUUCGAGUUUUGGCUGAUCAUUGUAGGGUGAAUGGUGAAAAGUUUGAGUCUUUGAAGCGUUUGGAGGUUCAUUUCUGUGUGAAGAUAGUGAGGGAAGAGUUUCAUUUAUGUAUGAAAAUUGGGAGGGAUUUUAUUCGGUUGUUGCAGGAUUUGGUUCAUGUUCCUGAGUUUAAGUCUAUAUGGAAGGAUUUAAUGCUGAAUCCAUCUAGUUUUAAUACUUUAGGAUUUAGUGGUGUUUCUCAGAUUUAUUUAACUAGGACUUCGAGUAGGUAUGCUUUGCUUAGGAUCACUCCUGCAAUGGAGACACAAUUGCGGUUUUUGCUUACUCACGUGAAAUUGGGGAAUCAAAAGAGGCAUUUGAUGUGGUUUGCAAGGAAAUUUUUAAACGAGCCUGAUAAAGAGACUGUUGUAGUUGAUAUAGUUAGGUUUAUAUGCUGUGCACACCAUCCACCAAACGAGAUUAUUCAGUCUGAUAUAGUUCCAAGAUGGGCUGUUAUUGGUUGGCUUUUGACAACUUUUAGGAAGAAGAGUUGUGUUGAGGCCAAUGCAAAACUGGCUUUGUUUUAUGAUUGGCUCUUUUUUGAUGAAAAAGUUGAUAAUAUUAUGAACAUAGAACCUGCUAUUUUGUUGAUGGUGCAUUCUAUUACCCAAUAUGUGGAGAUGACCAACACUCUUCUUGAGUUUUUGUUACUUCUUGUUGACAACUAUGAUAUGGAACAUAAGGAUAUCAUUGUUAAAGGUGUCUCAUUGGCUUUUCGAUUUCUUGAAAGCAAAGGUGUGAUUCAGUCGCUUGAUAUUUUGACUUCUUGUCCUACAUUGUCCCCUUCACUAAAAGAGGGCUUGAGUAGGCUAUUAUCAUCUGGAAAGCCUGAAAGCUCCAAAGAAUUUCUUCCAGUACUGAGUCAGCCAGGGCAACAAACGGUAUAAUAUCCGCAAAGUUUAUAUAUCAAACCAUACUUACAUCACCAUUUUUCAAUAAAUAAUGAUCUUAAGGACAAUGUGAAAAAGAAGCUGACUGCUAUAAGAUAAGAAAAUGCUUCUUUGGAGAAAAUACAGAAUUGCUCUAUGCCUUGGGAGUAUUUUGAUAGAACCAACUGUAAGUGUGUUCAAGAACCAACUGCGUUUCUGUAGAUGAAGUGUUCCAUGCCUAAAGAUUGUAACUUUGGGUUGAAAACUGGAGUUUUUGUGGAGGAAUUGUUAAUGGUCAUUGGAUAUUCUUGAUACUUGGGCACCAAUGGGGCCAAAAGGGAAAGUUAAGGACGGAACUGGGAAAAUACUUGCAUGUGAACUCAAGGAUAGGCCAGUUUUUGAAGCGGAUGUGCAGUCUGCCACAGUUUAUUUGUUGGCUAAAGAGAGGGAAAAGUGAGAUGUUUUGGUUGAAAUAUCCUCCUGGUUUUGGUGAUCAUCGGUCGCUGUUAGUGACUCAUUUUGGGAGUUGUAAACCUCCUGGGAAAUUUGGGGAUUACCCUGUUGAGAGAUGCUUGAAGCAGAUGGAUUGAGCAUUCAAAGCUGUUGAGGUAUCAUCUUCUAGCUGAGAUGCUCUUUUCUUCUUAUGCAGUUAACUAGUUGGAAAACUCGUCACAUCUGUGUAUGUUGAUGGAUUUGAAUGAGUUGCAUUAGUUGCAGAAAUAGAAACUUUGACUCCUUAUCAUUAUAUUUAUGGUAGAAAUAGGAAAGCAAGAUAUGCAUUUUGUUGGUUUGAUAUUCAUUUGUAACCUCUCUCUCCCUCUCAGUCUUAAAGCUUCUGAACUUAAAGCUUUUAGAAUUGUAUUUUAACAUAAAUUCAUAUGAAGUAAUGGAAAAGUUUCAUGGUGGCCCAGCAAAUAAAAUCUAUCAUUGUCUAU